Molecule: ribosomal RNA, 500 nt
Filed under: uncultured bacterium
Lineage: Bacteria
Description: partial 16S ribosomal RNA
Rfam family: Bacterial small subunit ribosomal RNA
Source: RNAcentral
AAUGAACGCUGGCGGCGUGCCUAAGACAUGCAAGUCGUACGAGAAAGUAGCAAUAUGAGUACAGUGGCGCACGGGUGAGUAAUAAUUGGAUAAUGCGCCUCCUCGCUGGGGAUAACCAGGCGAAAGCUUGGCUAAUACCGAAUAGUUCGGUCGGGACCUUGGUUCUGACCGAUAAAGCCGUAAGGCGCGGGGAGAGUAGUCCAAUUCCCAUUAGCUAGUUGGUAAGGUAAAAGCUUACCAAGGCAACGAUGGGUAGCUGGUCUGAGAGGAUGAUCAGCCACACUGGAACUGGAACACGGUCCAGACUCCUACGGGAGGCAGCAGUUAGGAAUCUUGCGCGAUGGGGGAAACCCUGACGCAGCAAUGCCGCGUGCAGGAAGAAGGCCUUCGGGUUGUAAACUGCUUUUGUACGGAACGAAACGGUCUGGGUUAAUACCCUGGGCUAAUGACGGUACCGUAAGAAUAAGCACCGGCUAACUACGUGCCAGCCGCCGCCGUAA